RNAcentral lists this ribosomal RNA (492 nucleotides) under uncultured bacterium. RNAcentral describes it as "partial 16S ribosomal RNA". It matches the Rfam family "Bacterial small subunit ribosomal RNA", at positions 29 to 507 of the family's 1533-position model. The record is from RNAcentral.
AGUGAACGCUGGCGGUAGGCCUAACACAUGCAAGUCGAACGGCAGCACAGUAAGAGCUUGCUCUUACGGGUGGCGAGUGGCGGACGGGUGAGGUAUACAUCGGAAUCUACUUUUUCGUGGGGGAUAACGUAGGGAAACUUACGCUAAUACCGCAUACGACCUACGGGUGAAAGCAGGGGAUCUUCGGACCUUGCGCGAUUGAAUGAGCCGAUGUCGGAUUAGCUAGUUGGCGGGGUAAAGGCCCACCAAGGCGACGAUCCGUAGCUGGUCUGAGAGGAUGAACAGCCGCACUGGAACUGAGACACGGUCCAGACUCCUACGGGAGGCAGCAGUGGGGAAUAUUGGACAAUGGGCGCAAGCCUGAUCCAGCCAUACCGCGUGGGUGAAGAAGGCCUUCGGGUUGUAAAGCCCUUUUGUUGGGAAAGAAAAGCAGCAGGUGAAUACCCCGCUGUUCUGACGGUACCCAAAGAAUAAGCACCGGCUAACUUCGUG